This 496-nucleotide ribosomal RNA is filed under the name uncultured organism. RNAcentral's name for it is "bacterial SSU rRNA". It matches the Rfam family "Bacterial small subunit ribosomal RNA", at positions 29 to 507 of the family's 1533-position model. The record is from RNAcentral.
AGCGAACGCUGGCGGCGUGCUUAACACAUGCAAGUCGAACGUGAAAGUAGCAAUACGAGUAAAGUGGCGCACGGGUGAGUAACACGUAGGCAAUCUACCUUAGAAUCUGGAAUAACAGGCCGAAAGGCUUGCUAAUACUGGAUAGAUCAAAACUCUUGUAAAGGGAGAAUUGGGAAAGGGAGGCCGCAAGGUCCCUCGUUUUAAGAUGAGCCUGCGUCCCAUUAGCUAGUUGGUAGGGUAACGGCCUACCAAGGCGAUGAUGGGUAGCUGGUCUGAGAGGAUGAUCAGCCACACUGGAACUGAAACACGGUCCAGACUCCUACGGGAGGCAGCAGUGGGGAAUUUUGCGCAAUGGACGAAAGUCUGACGCAGCAACGCCGCGUGAGUGAAGAAGGCCUUCGGGUUGUAAAGCUCUGUCGGAUGGGAAGAAAAUGGCGUGGGUUAAUAGCCCAAGCAACUGACGGUACCAUCAAAGGAAGCACCGGCUAACUUCGUG